AGUGAACGCUGGCGGUAUGCCUAACACAUGCAAGUCGAACGGCAACACAGUGAGCUCUUGCUCUUACGGUUGGCGGGGGACGGACGAGUGACGCAUACAUCGCAUUCUUCUUUUUCGUGGAGGAUAACGGGAGGACGGUGACGGUAAUAGCUCAUACAACCUACCGGAUGAAUCAAGAGAGCAUCGCGGCUUUCGCGACUCAAUUAGAUGAUUUCGGGCCGGAUUAGCUAGUUGGUAAGGUAACGGCCUACCAAGGCGACGAUGCGUAGCCGACCUGAGAGGAUGAUCAGCCACACUGGAACUGAGACACGGUCCAGACUCCUACGGGAGGCAGCAGUGGGGAAUAUUGGACAAUGGGCGAAAGCCUGACCGAGCCAUACCGCGUGAGUGAAGAAGGUCUUCGGGUUGUAAAGCCCUUUUGUUAGGAAAGAAAAGAAGCGGAUUAAACCACGGCUGUUCUGACGGUACCCAAAGAAAAAGCAACGGCUAACUUCGUG
This 497-nucleotide ribosomal RNA is filed under the name uncultured bacterium. RNAcentral's name for it is "partial 16S ribosomal RNA". It matches the Rfam family "Bacterial small subunit ribosomal RNA", at positions 29 to 507 of the family's 1533-position model. The record is from RNAcentral.